GAUGAACGCUGGCGGCGUGCCUAAUACAUGCAAGUCGAGCGAACAGACGAGGAGCUUGCUCCUCUGACGUUAGCGGCGGACGGGUGAGUAACACGUGGAUAACCUACCUAUAAGACUGGGAUAACUUCGGGAAACCGGAGCUAAUACCGGAUAAUAUAUUGAACCGCAUGGUUCAAUAGUGAAAGACGGUUUUGCUGUCACUUAUAGAUGGAUCCGCGCCGCAUUAGCUAGUUGGUAAGGUAACGGCUUACCAAGGCAACGAUGCGUAGCCGACCUGAGAGGGUGAUCGGCCACACUGGAACUGAGACACGGUCCAGACUCCUACGGGAGGCAGCAGUAGGGAAUCCUCCGCAAUGGGCGAAUGCCUGACGGAGCAACGCCGCGUGAGUGAUGAAGGUCUUCGGAUCGUAAAACUCUGUUAUUAGGGAAGAACAAAUGUGUAAGUAACUAUGCACGUCUUGACGGUACCUAAUCAGAAAGCCACGGCUAACUACGUG
Molecule: ribosomal RNA, 497 nt
Filed under: uncultured bacterium
Lineage: Bacteria
Description: partial 16S ribosomal RNA
Rfam family: Bacterial small subunit ribosomal RNA
Source: RNAcentral